Molecule: ribosomal RNA, 253 nt
Filed under: uncultured bacterium
Lineage: Bacteria
Description: partial 16S ribosomal RNA
Rfam family: Bacterial small subunit ribosomal RNA
Source: RNAcentral
GACGUAGGGCGCGAGCGUUGUCCGGAAUCAUUGGGCGUAAAGAGCGUGUAGGCGGCCCGGUAAGUCCGCUGUGAAAGUCCAGGGCUCAACCCUGGGAUGCCGGUGGAUACUGUCGGGCUCGAGUCCGGAAGAGGAGUGUGGAAUUCCUGGUGUAGCGGUGAAAUGCGCAGAUAUCAGGAGGAACACCAAUGGCGAAGGCAGCACUCUGGGACGUGACUGACGCUGAGACGCGAAAGCGUGGGGAGCAAACAGG